CUACCUUUGUGACGCAUUGGUUCAAAAGGUUAUCUCUUUUUCACUGGAUAAUCUGAUGAUUAAAAGGGAAUCAGGUGCAAGUCCUGAACAGUCCCGCUGCUGUAAAUUCCGUGUAUAUUGCAGGCAAUCGCUCAAGCCACUGGAAUGAUUUUCCGGGAAGGUAGUCUGCAAUAGGAAUGAGUCAGAAGACCUGCCAUGCAUAGUUUCUUCAC
This 212-nucleotide non-coding RNA is filed under the name Bacteroides sp. The record is from RNAcentral. Lineage: Bacteria; Pseudomonadati; Bacteroidota; Bacteroidia; Bacteroidales; Bacteroidaceae.